AUUUCCCUCUCUGCGUAUUUCGCAUUCUCUACUCAUGCCUGGUCUCUCGUCUCUGCUUUGGAGACGAUUCUUUCUCCCAUUUUCAUUUUUUGUUCUUCAAUUUGGCCUAAAGGAUCCAUGGCUGACCAACCAGGCGGGCUGGAUUCGGUUACUGACAAGAUCUCCGGUAAGAUCGACGGCUACAAUUCUUCCUCUUCCUCCGGCUCUGAUGAUGACCAGCCUUCAAAAAUCAAUGCUGUAAAAUCCCACGUUUUUAGGCUCUUCGGUAGAGAUAAGCCCGUUCACACGGUCUUGGGCGGUGGAAAACCUGCUGAUGUUCUUCUUUGGAGGAACAAGAAGAACUCUGCAGGCAUCCUUGGGGGUGCCACCGCCUUGUGGAUUCUUUUUGAGCUGCUUGAGUACCAAUUAAUCACUCUCCUAUGCCAUAUAUUAAUUCUUGUACUGGCUCUAGUUUUCACGCGGUCUUAUGCCAGUUCGUUUAUCAACAAGUCCCCACCACAAAUCCCAGAUUUUAGACUUCCUGAAGAUCGUCUACUCGAGGUUGUCUCUGCAUUGAGAAUCGAAAUCAACCAUGUAAUCUCCAAUUUACGUAACAUUGCUUCUGGGAGAGAUUUGAAGAAAUUCCUCCGUGCUUUUAUUGGCUUAUGGGUUCUAUCAAUGGUUGGAAGCUGGUGCAAUUUUCUGACCUUGUUAUACACAUCCGUUGUAUUGCUACACACUGUGCCAGUGCUAUAUGAGAAGUAUGAUGACCAGGUUGACGCAUUUGCUGAGAAGGCUUUGAUAGAGGUCAAGAAGCAGUAUGCUGUAUUUAACGCCGAAGUUCUGAGUAAAAUCCCGAUGGGGGCACUUCAAGAGAAGAAGAAGGAUUAGGUUAUGUGGCAUUUUUGUCUGAUAUGAUGUAAUGUGAUCGAGACGAUGGUGUAGCCGAGCUCAAGACUCCAGAGAUCCUACAUACUCAGAGUCUGUUUUGGUUGUAUUUACUUUUGUCUGCUUUGAAAUGUUUAUAAUUAUAAGUUAUUAAAUUUAUGUAAAUUAUGUUUUGCUCUUAUAUAAUAAAGAAUGUGAUAUGGAGUGUUUUUAUAAA
Molecule: RNA transcript, 1084 nt
Organism: Cucurbita maxima (winter squash)
Lineage: Eukaryota; Viridiplantae; Streptophyta; Magnoliopsida; Cucurbitales; Cucurbitaceae
Gene name: reticulon-like protein B1
Exons: 7
Source: RefSeq, a predicted model, not a curated record